CUUCGCAUUAAUAAAACCGAUCGUAAAAUGCAGUUUUUCGAGUAACUGGGGGCACCACAGGGUUUCACGCAGCGAGCAAUGCCGAGGGCGGACCCGGUGCCCCCCGGCCGCCGCGCACCGCGGGUCUCAGGGCCGGGGGCCGAGCUGUGCGCCGAGUGCUCCGACCGCGGCCCCACCGCCCUCCGCCCCCGUCCUCUACCGCCCGGGCCGCUGCGCGCGGGGUUCCUCCCGCCCGGGGCAACGCGCUCCGGGGCCCGGCGCGGCGCUGGGGGUCCCCGCGCUCCCGGGCGGCAGCGGUGGGGCCGGGCCGUGCCCUCACUCCUCCUGGCUGACCUCAGCCGGCGAGCCCAGGCUCUCGGGGGGUUUCUCGGCGUCCCGGGCGCGCUCCUGCUCCGAGAGCUGCUCGCUGCUGGGGAUGGAGUUCUUCUUGGGGCGGCCCUUGGGCUUGGUGGGGGACUCCAGGCCGCCCCCCUGCAGCACUAUUUUCUUCCAUUUCAUGCGCCUGUUCUGGUACCAGGUUUUCACCUGGAGCUGGCUGAGCCCCAGCGAUUCGGCCAGGUCUAUUCUGUCGGGCGUCGAGAGGUACUUCUGC
This 592-nucleotide long non-coding RNA is filed under the name Gallus gallus (chicken). Lineage: Eukaryota; Metazoa; Chordata; Aves; Galliformes; Phasianidae. The record is from RNAcentral.